Molecule: unclassified non-coding RNA, 236 nt
Filed under: uncultured Mycena
Lineage: Eukaryota; Fungi; Basidiomycota; Agaricomycetes; Agaricales; Tricholomataceae
Description: sequence contains ITS1
Source: RNAcentral
UUGAAUACGAUUGGUACUGAUGCUGGCCCUUCACUGGGCAUGUGCUCGUCCAUCUAUUUAUCUUCUCUUGUGCACAUCUUGUAGUCUUGGAUGAACCCUUGCGCAUUCGUGCGGUCUGGGAGUUGCGAAUUAAAACCUUGCUUCUCCUGCUUGUCCAAGGCUAUGUUUUCAUAUACACUAUAAAGUUACAGAAUGUCAAUUAACGACUUGUGCUUGUCACGGUCAUUAAACCUAUA